CGUAGGGUCCGAGCGUUGUCCGGAUUUAUUGAGCGUAAAGAGCUCGUAGGCGGUUUCGUAAGUCGGAUGUGAAAACUCAGGGCUCAACCCGGAGACGCCAUCUGAUACUGCGAUGACUGGAGUCUGGUAGGGGAUCACGGAAUACCUGGUGUAGCGGUGAAAUGCGCAGAUAUCAGGUGGAACACCGAUGGCGAAGGCAGUGAUCUGGGCCAGUACUGACGCUGAGGAGCGAGAGCGUGGGGAGCAAACAGGAUUAGAUACCCUGGUAGUCCACGCCGUAAACGUUGGGCACUAGGUGUGGGUCCUCAUCAACGGGAUCCGUGCCGUAGCUAACGCAUUAAGUGCCCCGCCUGGGGAGUACGGCCGCAAGGCUA
This 374-nucleotide ribosomal RNA is filed under the name uncultured organism. Its description in RNAcentral is "bacterial SSU rRNA". It matches the Rfam family "Bacterial small subunit ribosomal RNA", at positions 526 to 896 of the family's 1533-position model. The record is from RNAcentral.